CCAUUCGUUUGUUCUUGUCAUAAUAUCAAAUAUAUUACAAAUCGUUCAACUAUUCUAUUACAUAAGCAAUCUAAGGGUUCGUCUUCGCCUUGCCCUUGUCCUUGCCUGAGCCUUCGGUCCGCUCGAUCUUAGCUAUGUUCAUAUGGUUCAAGCAAGAGUGAGCAUGACUAGCUCAGCAAGUACUACAAUUCUAAUAAACAACAUGCUUGAAACAUAGAACUCAUAUAUCUUCAGUAACUGAACAAUAGUUACGAAGUACUAUCGAUAAUUCAAAAUAGCACUUCUUUUCAUUCAAAACAUUUUCCAACAACAAUAUUCAGUAGAAUAUCAACUAAGGCUCAAAACUAUGAGCAGUUCAUAAUUUCUUUUGAAAAGGACAACCCGACAAUAAGUCCGUAAGUCCGGCAUAGCUUACGAGCACGUCUGAGUGAUCAACUCAUAGUACUCUAUGUUGAUCAACACUACAUUCAUUAAACGUGUAUACGUUUAAGUUGUGGCAACCUCACGUGCCUGUCGUUAAACGACAAAAACAUUUUAGCAUACUUGGUCUUCGAUUGAAAACCAUACCAAUAUAACUGGGUAAAAAUAAAUCAUGCUUGGCAGAAUCAUAAUAUAAGUCUAGCCGAAAGAAUUGGCUUUAGACUUCA
RNAcentral lists this long non-coding RNA (647 nucleotides) under Panax ginseng (ginseng). Its description in RNAcentral is "long non-coding RNA (PGIN_LNC000588)". Lineage: Eukaryota; Viridiplantae; Streptophyta; Magnoliopsida; Apiales; Araliaceae. The record is from RNAcentral.